Molecule: ribosomal RNA, 254 nt
Filed under: uncultured bacterium
Lineage: Bacteria
Description: partial 16S ribosomal RNA
Rfam family: Bacterial small subunit ribosomal RNA
Source: RNAcentral
UACGGAGGGUGCAAGCGUUAUCCGGAUUCACUGGGUUUAAAGGGUGCGUAGGUGGGCUGGUAAGUCAGUGGUGAAAUCUCCAGGCUUAACUUGGAAACUGCCAUUGAUACUAUUAGUCUUGAAUACCGUGGAGGUCAGCGGAAUAUGUCAUGUAGCGGUGAAAUGCUUAGAUAUGACAUAGAACACCAAUUGCGAAGGCAGCUGGCUACACGAAUAUUGACACUGAUGCACGAAAGCGUGGGGAUCAAACAGGA